GUAGUCAUAUGCUUGUCUCAAAGAUUAAGCCAUGCAUGUCUAAGUAUAAGCAAUUAUACCGCGAAACUGCGAAUGGCUCAUUAAAUCAGUUAUCGUUUAUUUGAUAGUACCUUACUACAUGGAUAACCGUGGUAAUUCUAGAGCUAAUACAUGCUGAAAAUCCCGACUCACGGAGGGAUGUAUUUAUUAGAUUAAAAACCAAUGCCCUUCGGGGCUCUCUGGUGAUUCAUAAUAACUUCUCGAAUCGCAUGGCCUUGCGCCGGCGAUGGUUCAUUCAAAUUUCUGCCCUAUCAACUUUCGACGGCUGGGUCUUGGCCAGCCGUGGUGACAACGGGUAACGGAGGGUUAGGGCUCGACCCCGGAGAAGGAGCCUGAGAAACGGCUACUACAUCCAAGGAAGGCAGCAGGCGCGCAAAUUACCCAAUCCCGACACGGGGAGGUAGUGACAAUAAAUACUGAUACAGGGCUCUUUCGGGUCUUGUAAUUGGAAUGAGUACAAUUUAAAUCCCUUAACGAGGAACAAUUGGAGGGCAAGUCUGGUGCCAGCAGCC
This 551-nucleotide ribosomal RNA is filed under the name uncultured fungus. RNAcentral describes it as "SSU rRNA". It matches the Rfam family "Eukaryotic small subunit ribosomal RNA", at positions 20 to 575 of the family's 1831-position model. Lineage: Eukaryota; Fungi. The record is from RNAcentral.